Carya illinoinensis is the source of this 1207-nucleotide long non-coding RNA. RefSeq lists it as uncharacterized. The record is from RefSeq and is a predicted model, not a curated record. The transcript is spliced from 4 exons. Lineage: Eukaryota; Viridiplantae; Streptophyta; Magnoliopsida; Fagales; Juglandaceae.
CCCACCCAUGCCGCCCCCCUCCAGUUUCAAGUUUCAGUUUUGAAUCCUUCGUCUUUCUCUAGAUUCUCCUUCCCUGAGUCAUUGACGCCCCCCCUCCACGCCGCCGCUCCAGCUAGCUCUUUGGAACGGUGUCGUCGCAUGCCAUCACCACCCCUCUUGGCCGCUUCAAGUUGGUGUAUUUCGAGCUUAACAGAUCACUUCCUCUGAUCAUCAAAUGGUGCAUUCCCAAGGCCUCCAGUACGUUGAGUUUUAAGUUCCCACAUAACAUCCCCAUCUCACACGACAGACAAAACACUUCUAACUUCAACUUCCUCACGCCUCCCCUGUUGCUGCUAACCCUGUCAUCUCUUACUUCAUUGGGAGGCCAUAACAGAACGUGACUCCUUGAGCUUGCCUCAACCCAUCACUCGACUGCGACUUCCUCAUUCAAUGGUUUCGUUCUUCAAACCAAAAAAAACCCAUCACUCCAAGCCUUAAACCCAGCAACCGCGCCGGCCUUAGUCUGAAAUCUGCUCUGUCGCGGCGUCGCCCAGACCAACGCGUCUCAUCACCCACGACCCCACACUCGUUGGCCGUCGCCCACUUACCUGAAGGUUGAACAUAGCAUUGGAGUUUUCACUGAUUUCUAGAGGAUUUUGUCAUAAUUUUCCAGAUGAGUUCGGCAGUAGGUGAAAAUGAUGAUUUGAUUGAUUUGGACCCGUUUGAGUUACAAAGUUUUCAAAAUGAGGAAUCUAAAACAAAAUGAAGGAAACGGUAAAAUGUUUGGACUUUUUUUGAAAUGGUUCCUAAGUCUGAGAACAAUGAUGACAAGCCACGAGUCAAGUUUUGGUGUUCCAGUUUCUACAGUCGCAUUUGAAUCUACUUUUAGUGUUGGUGGGCAUAUCAUUGAUCAGUUUAGGAGUGUACUAAAAGCAGAUAUUGUUGAAGCAUUAGUCUGCACUAGAGAUUGGCUAUAUGGCGAGGAGCAAAAAUACAAGAAGUUAAAUUGGACGAGUUAACCGAAGAUAUAAUGGAGUUAGAGAAAAACAAGGGCAAGGAGGACGCUCCACCUCAUUCUUGAAGCUCUAAAUUUGUUUAGAUUUGUGUUUUUAUUAUAUUUGGGAUUGUAACAUUAAUAUACCGUCUAUGUGUGUUUUUAUUAUUAUUUUGGGAUGUAAUAUUAAUAUAUUAUUACAAUGUGUGUGGAUCAUAUUUGCUUGGAUUGUAA